This is a long non-coding RNA of Oncorhynchus tshawytscha (Chinook salmon), 699 nucleotides long. The record is from Ensembl. Lineage: Eukaryota; Metazoa; Chordata; Actinopteri; Salmoniformes; Salmonidae.
GGACUUCAUACUGACACAUUAAAAAGUGAAAUAACUAAAACCAGCAGAUGACUGCCCUCCAUGGAAUGAGUUUGGACACCUUCUGAUCUAGUGCCUUUCGACAGAAGCACAGAUCCAGGAACAGUCUCCAUUUCCUCAACCUUAACUAGUGUAGUAUAAGUUAACUACUAGGGGGGGGGAUCUGCAUGAAAACUGACCUGAGAUCAGUGUCGUGUUUUAUAAGAUGACCACUUCCUCUCUUUUACAGGUGACAUUCCUUUCCUCCUUAAACAUGUGUCGCUUUGUAUUCCUUCCCCCACUGAUUCAGUAGCAGGAAGGAGUUUUGAGGUGUCGCGUUGUAUUCCUUCCCCCACUGAUUCAGUAGCAGGAAGGAGUUUUGAGGUGUCGCGUUGUAUUCCUCCCCCCACUGAUUCAGUAGCAGGAAGGAGUUUUGAGGUGUCACGUUGUAUUCCCUCCCCCACUGAUUCAGUAGCAGGAAGGAGUUUUGAGGUGUCGCGUUUUAUUCCCUCCCCCACUGAUUCAGUAGCAGGAAGGAGUUGAGGUGUCGCGUUUUAUUCCCUCCCCCCCACUGAUUCAGUAGCAGGAAGGAGUUUUGAGGUGUUACGAUAUCAUAGAGCCUUUUAGCGUCACAGAAUACCAGUCUACUGAUAGCAUUAAUACAACGUUUGUUAGUUUGUACAUAUACCAGUAAUAGGAUCC